ACAAGGUUGUUAUUCUGCAGUCUCUUUUCUUUAAUCCAUUGUCACUCACUUACCUCUCAUAACUUCUAGGUGACAUGAAGACUAAGUUACAGCAGCUUCCUGAGCAACCAUCAUGCAUGCUGGACCAUCCUGGCCUAGAACCUGUCUGCCUGAAUGUGUUUUCACUGCAGAAUGCACUGAACAUUUAUCGGGCAGACUACGGACCUUUACGUCUGAGGGGAAUAGAGCAGUUUGUACAGGGAUGUUUCCUGUCAGAGUGCUGAGACAGAGUGAGGAGUGGAGGUACUGCCCUGUAUCUAUAGAUCCUCCCUCCAUAUCCCUCAGAGGUGCCCGCCCUGUCCUAAUUCUGUAAGUGGAGAAGAAAUCAGGUUUGUAUAGCAGAGAAGAAGGGAGAAGAAGGUCCUGUGGUCGAAGGAGAUCCUCUCUCCUGCUUCAAGCUUUUGGCAGGCUGCCUGCAUCCAGUGCUGUCCCCUCUCCAGCAGACACUCAUGGUGGGACUUCAACCUCUCCUGAGACCUGACAUGCAUCACACAUUCACAGCGGCAAUCACCCGUCGGUCGCCCUCACCGCCUGAGUACCUAUACCGGGAGGUUGCCAGUUGAGCGGUUGUCACACCGAGAUGUCAUCUCAGCCUUCAGACAGCCGGUUGGUCAGCCUGCGUUGUCUGGCUUGGUUGGAGGAAUGACCUGCAGCCCACACGGCCCUUUGUGGAAUCGUUUUUGACGUGUCUCUGGCAGUAUGAAAUGCAUUUUGUGUCACCUGCUCUCUGUCUUAAGCAUUUACUUG
This is a long non-coding RNA of Acanthopagrus latus (yellowfin seabream), 786 nucleotides long. RefSeq lists it as uncharacterized. The transcript is spliced from 4 exons. The record is from RefSeq and is a predicted model, not a curated record. Lineage: Eukaryota; Metazoa; Chordata; Actinopteri; Spariformes; Sparidae.